GGGGGUAGCAAUACAACCGGCGCACGGGUGAGUAACGCGUACACAACAUACCAUAUACUGGGGUAUAGCUUUGGGAAACUGAAGGUAAUCCCCCAUAACAUUGCGAGAGGGCAUCUGAUUGCAAUUAAAGUUUCGGCGGUAUAUGAUUGGUGUGCGUUUGAUUAGCUAGUUGGUAGGGUAACGGCCUACCAAGGCGACGAUCAAUAGCUGGCGUGAGAGCGCGACCAGCCACACUGGAACUGAGACACGGUCCAGACUCCUACGGGAGGCAGCAGUAGGGAAUAUUGGACAAUGGGCGAAAGCCUGAUCCAGCCAUGCCGCGUGAUAGAUGAAGGCCCUCUGGGUUGUAAAUAUCUUUUAUCUGGGAAGAAACAAUCUUAUUCUUAAGAUCUUGACGGUACCAGAGGAAUAAGCACCGGCUAACUCCGUGCCAGCAGCCGCGGUAAUACGGAGGGUGCAAGCGUUAUCCGGAUUCACUGGGUUUAAAGGGUGCGUAGGCGGAUUAAUAAGUCAGUGGUGAAAACCUUCAGCUUAACUGGAGAACUGCCAUUGAUACUGUUAGUCUUGAGUACGGUCAAGGUAGGCGGAAUGUGUAAUGUAGCGGUGAAAUGCUUAGAUAUUACACAGAACACCGAUUGCGAAGGCAGCUUACUGGGCCAUUACUGACGCUGAUGCACGAAAGCGUGGGGAGCGAACAGGAU
RNAcentral lists this ribosomal RNA (701 nucleotides) under uncultured bacterium. RNAcentral describes it as "bacterial SSU rRNA". It matches the Rfam family "Bacterial small subunit ribosomal RNA", at positions 66 to 778 of the family's 1533-position model. The record is from RNAcentral.